ACUAGAACGAGUGAUGCAGUGCCCCGAUGGAAAGAUUGCUUCGUGUAUUUAUCUUCAAGCCGAUGCCGUUGCCCCGGAGGUUCUCUCGCCGUUCUGGUUUUUCCUGCGAUGGACUCGGCGGCACCGUUCGAAGCCGCCAAGAUUGGCACGACCUAAACCAGGAAUUCUUUAAAUUAUCCAGUCACGUAUAACGCAAUUUCAAACAUCGAAGCCUUCCCGAAUUUGGAGCCCGUAAUCUGUUGGUUUGUGGUUUUUCACCUCACGGAAAUACGAUUUUUCUUAGGUACUGAUCGGAUCUUGAAGGCUGAUAUCCGGCAUCUCGUGUUCUUGUGCGUAUGAGAGUCGUCCUCGACGAUUAACGCCAUUAUCGGUGGUGUUAGCAUAGGCAAAGGAUGAAUUUACAAGAUUCUUGUUUGUGAAGUUGAUAGUUGGAGGGACAGAUUGGUUUGAUUUCAGAGGACCGCGAGAGAAGUUACAGUGAAGGCGAGGUGUGUGUUAUGUGGUCCUGAACUUAAUUUAUUGAUUGUAGGCCUUUGCCAUGACGGGUGCGCUUGCAUGGCAAUUCAAUACUUAAUAAAAUUUCAUUUUCUGGGGUUGGAGGGGGAGAUGCUGCGGCCGGUUUUUGUUCUUUGUUUUUGCGCCGGCCUGCUCUUCCCCUUCUUGGUGGUGCGUGUCUCUCUUCGUCAUCCUUCUCCUCCACUUUUUUUCCCCCCGGCGCUUCUUCUUCUCUACGUUGUACGUACGCCUCGUAAUUUUCCAGUGACUUGUUUCAAGACGAAAACACGAAACAAUUCGCAUGUAAAAUCAUGUUCGAAGCAAAACCAAGCAGAUCCAAAACCGCGCGACACAUGUAUACCCAAUAACCAACUGAUUGACAAGAGCAUACGUGUCCAGUCCGUGCCUGAACAAUUGGAUAAUGAGAAAUAAGGAAUAGACUUUGCCAAUGGGAGGCACAUGGGCCUUCCCGCCAAGAUGUGUAAUGUGGGGGCAAGAUGGUGUGAGAUUCAGAAGCCCAAACCGCCAUUUCAAAGCCUAUAAAAUAAAUAACAACGUUAUAUUAUUUUUUAUUAGUUAUUGUAAAAAAUAUAAAAAUAUUAUCAUAAUCAAUAAUUACGCUUAUGAAAACAAGUUAGCGGUAGGCCAUUCUUAAACAAACAAAUAUUAUUAAUUAGGCUUAAGCCAGGGCGGUUGCGCCAUUCUUAAGCAAACUCCGAUCACAACGGCUAUUUCAAAUCACCGACCUUCGCCGUGCGGGUUUGUCUCAGGCGAACAUGCAUGCUGGGAGCCUGGGACGACCGUGACCAUUCGGUUAAGGCUGUUAAAUAAGGUGACGUGGUCGGACAAGCGAGCUCUGUUGGAAGGCACAAUAGGAGCCACGGGGCUGCAGAAUUGUGCCGACACGAUGAUUGGACACUGGCAUCUCCGAGGAAUCUGUGACCGAGAGAAGAGCAGAGUUAGCAGCGCUUUGGAGAUCUUGAUGAGGCCCAGGUUGCUCUUUCCCGAUGAGCCUACCAGUGGACUUGACAGCUAUAGCCUCGGUGGUGCAUGAUGGCCUCUCGAGAAAAAUGCUAAAAAAUAUUAUGCAAGAAUUCCCAGGGUUACCUGUCUGCUAUCCCUCACAGUUAGAGAAGGAUGAUCCCAAACUUUAUGCUAAUAAUCUUGAAGUUUGAUGGCUACUGAGGGUAAUUUGAUACUUUCAGAUAUUGGGCUGGCUGAAAAGCGGACAUACUUUAAGGGUGUUUCAGGUGCUUAUUGGUGCACGUGUACAGUAUAAUACUUUUUAUAAUAUGCAUAUUCUUAACCCACCCUCCUCAGGGGGCCUCUCUUCCAAUCCCCUACUCUGCAUGGUUCUCCAUACUAAUUGCAGAGGAUCUUCUGGAAGCUGAGUUGAUACAUAAAAUGUUCAAGAACACGAUGGUCAUAAUAUAUUGCAUUAUUUUAGGGGGAAAAUGAAAGAAUUAUCUGUACUGUUUUUCAAAUUUGACUGCAGUUAAAGUUGUUUGUUCUGCUGUAUUAGUGGUAUCUCUUGAUUGUUAUACUAUAUUAAUUGAUUUAGUUUCUAUAUUGCCUUAGGAUCUCCAUUCCCUUUCAACUCUUGGGUACAGGCUAGCUCUUUCUCAUGUGUCAUGUCUAAAGCUGCCGCGGCCGUUCUUUUUAUGCAUACCAACUUACCUUUGUCAGUAGAAGUAUUUGUCUUGAGGUUUCUGAGUGUUCUAGGCUGAGCUUGAACCUAGGUUUUAUUUUGCCAUUUUUUUGCGGAAAUUUAGGUCCAUAAAUUAUCAGGGAUGACUAAAAUACUGGCAUUUCUGCCUGGAGGUGUUGUCACUGAAAGAAUUCACGAAGCUGUUCCCCCUAUGUUGCUAUUCCCAGGUUAUUAUCCUGACUAUUUCAUGUUUUCUGGGUCAAUUUAGCUACCCUUGGCAUACAGAUCUAAAUCAGUUUCGUAGAAUAGGAUUAAUUUCUUUUGUAAUGCUUUACCUUUCUGCUAAAAUUAUCUGAUGAUUGAUCUGUGUCCUACGGAAUAAAUGUGCUAUGUGUCUUGGUUUUCAUUGGUGAACAUUAUUGACUAUUCCUCAGGCUUGUGAUCCAGAAGGGGAACUAUUUUCCGCAUUUGUCUUUUUCCUAAUCUUUUCAACUUAUGAGUUUUAAUUUAUGUUUAUUUCUUAGUCACUCCAUAUCUCUUCUUAUCAAUAAUUUAUUUAUUCAUCUAAAAAGAAACUUCAUCUCUCAUUUGUUUAUCUUUAAACUAGAUGGGUGAGCUCUUUCGUCGCAUGGAGCAUGAUGAAUGAGCCAUGUUGCUUGACUUGUGAAUAAUACGUGCCAUGGAUUUACUUUAUAUUGAUACUACUGUAAACAUUAAAUUUCUAAUUUAUUAUGUUGCUGGUGUGUGAAA
This is a long non-coding RNA of Prosopis cineraria, 2893 nucleotides long. RefSeq lists it as uncharacterized. The record is from RefSeq and is a predicted model, not a curated record. Lineage: Eukaryota; Viridiplantae; Streptophyta; Magnoliopsida; Fabales; Fabaceae. The transcript is spliced from 3 exons.